This 497-nucleotide ribosomal RNA is filed under the name uncultured bacterium. Its description in RNAcentral is "partial 16S ribosomal RNA". It matches the Rfam family "Bacterial small subunit ribosomal RNA", at positions 28 to 507 of the family's 1533-position model. The record is from RNAcentral.
GAUGAACGCUGGCGGCGUGCCUAAUACAUGCAAGUCGAGCGAACAGAUGAGGAGCUUGCUCCUCUGACGUUAGCGGCGGACGGGUGAGUAACACGUGGAUAACCUACCUAUAAGACUGGGAUAACUUCGGGAAACCGGAGCUAAUACCGGAUAAUAUAUUGAACCGCAUGGUUCAAUAGUGAAAGACGGUUUUGCUGUCACUUAUAGAUGGAUCCGCGCCGCAUUAGCUAGUUGGUAAGGUAACGGCUUACCAAGGCAACGAUGAGUAGCCGACCUGAGAGGGUGAUCGGCCACACUGGAACUGAGACACGGUCCAGACUCCUACGGGAGGCAGCAGUAGGGAAUCUUCCGCAAUGGGCGAAAGCCUUACGCAGCAACGCCGCGUGAGUGAUGAAGGUCUUCGGAUCGUAAAACUCUGUUAUUAGGGAAGAACAAAUGUGUAAUUAACUAUGCACGUCUUGACGGUACCUAAUCAGAAAGCCACGGCUAACUACGUG